GACGAACGCUGGCGGCGUGCUUAACACAUGCAAGUCGAACGGAAAGGCCUGCUUUCCCUUGUGUAUUGCGGGUACUCGAGUGGCGAACGGGCGAGUAACACGUGAGUGAUCUGCCCCCAACUUUGGUAUAAGCCUGGGAAACUGGGUCUAAUUCCCGAUAGCACUGCAGGGUGGUGCCGGUGGUGGAAAACGAUGUUCUAGUGGUUGGGGAUGAGCUCGCGGCCUAUCAGCUUGUUGGUGGGGUAAUGGCCUACCAAGGCGGCGACGGGUAGCCGGCCUGGGAGGGUGGGCGGCCACAGUGGGACUGCGAUACGGCCCCGACGCCUACGCGAGGACGCAGUGGGGAGUAUUGCGUGAUGGGCGGAAGCCUGAUGCAGCGACGCCGCGUGGGGGAUGCCGGCCUUCGGAUUGUAACCUCCUUUCGGCCGCGAGGAAGCCACCUGGUUGGAAGGGUGGUGACGGUAGUGGUAGAAGAAGCACCGGCUAACUACGUG
Molecule: ribosomal RNA, 494 nt
Filed under: uncultured bacterium
Lineage: Bacteria
Description: partial 16S ribosomal RNA
Rfam family: Bacterial small subunit ribosomal RNA
Source: RNAcentral